Long non-coding RNA from Passer domesticus (house sparrow), 1777 nucleotides. RefSeq lists it as uncharacterized. Lineage: Eukaryota; Metazoa; Chordata; Aves; Passeriformes; Passeridae. The transcript is spliced from 3 exons. The record is from RefSeq and is a predicted model, not a curated record.
AGCUUCCCUGAAUCAUUGUGAUUUUUUCCCCUCAGAAAGUAUCUUCUGCUUGCUAAUGGGGAAAAAAGUGAUAAUUUUGCUUCUGCAGAGUGGCAUUCUGCUUGCAACUGCCCUCAGCAGCAGGGAUUUCAACUUGCUGGAAAUUGACUUUGAGCAUCACAUCUGACAUGAACAGAUGCAGAAGAUUCCUAAAACACCUGGAUGACAACUUCAUGGUACAGGUACUCAGAGACCUGCCUAGAAAAGAUAUACUGCUUGAUUUGCUGCUUGUCAGCAGGGGAGGUCUUGUGAGUGAAAUGGAGAUUGUUGGCCAUCUUGGCCACAGCAACCACAAAGUGACUGAGUUUAAAAUUUCUGUUGACACGAGGAAAAGUGCCAGGAAAAUUUCAACUCUGGGCAUAAGGAAAGCAGACUCCAAGCUGCUCAAUGAAGCAGUGAGCAAGGUUCCUUGGAAUAAUGUUUUUGAAGGUGAUGAAAUCCAUCAGUGCUGGUCACUUUUUAAGCACCACCCCCUACAGGCAAUCCCAGAAUGUCAGAAGUGAAGCAGACAAGGAGAAGGCUGGCUUGGCUGAACAGAGAUCUUCUCUUGGAAAUAAAGCAAAAAAAGAAGGUAUAUGCCCAGUAGAAUUAAGGACAGGUGAUGUGGGAGGAAUACAGAGAUGCUGCUUGCCACAGGGAGAAAAUUCACAUGGCCAAAGCUCCACUGGAGUUGAAGCUGGCCAGAAAUGUGGGAUGGAACAAAAAGAGGGGGUUUUAAAUACAUUAAUGGCAAAAGGCAGUACAGAAAUUGCAUCUCCCAGGAUGAGGAUGGUCAUCCCAAAAACAGGGACGUAGAGAAGACAGAGAUGUUAAAUUCUUUCUUUGCCUGUGUCUCCAGCACUAAGGGGUUGUCAGUGGCCUGAGUUAGAGGACUGUGGCUGUGAGAGUGAGAGAAUACCAGUUGAUCCUGAAGUUGUGAGAGAUCUGCUACUCCACCUGGAUCACUAUAAUUCUAUCGGUCCUGAUAUGAUUCAUCCAAGAAUACUUGAAAACCUGGCUGGCACCACUGAAAGGCCUCUCUUACCAAUUUUUGAGUAGUCUGGGACUUCUGAGAAGGUCCCAGUUACUGGGAACUGGCUAACAGUGUCCCAGUUUUCAAAAGCAAUGAGAAGGAUGACCUCGUAAACUACAGGCCUGUAAGUCUCACUUCCUUCGUCGGUAAGGUUAUUUACAAGAUCGUUCUAGAGGGUAUUGAAAAACACCUGAAAGGCAACACAGUCAUUGUUCACAGGCAGCAUGAUUUCAUGAAAGUCCUGCUUAUUAAACCAAAUUUCCUUUUACAAAUUUCCUUUUUGGAAUGCCAGUUGAUAUAAUUUUUUUGGAUUUUAAUAAAGUUUUCAAUAAUGUAUCUCACAGGAUCCUUCUGGACAGAACGCCCGGCACACAGCUGGAUAAACAUAUUGAUAGGGGAUGGGUCAGACAUAAAGGGUUAUAGUUUAAGUAUACACAAAGUAUAGUGGGGUGACAUCAGACUGGCAACUUGUCACUAGUGGGGCUUCCAUACGACUCCAUCCUCUGCCCUGUGCUCCUCAAAACCUUCAUAAAUUACUUGGAUGCAGGACAGGAAGGGAUACUACGCAAGUUAGCAGAAGAUACUAAAAGCUUCAGUAAUAAAUGACAUUUUUGUUUGAAGUGGUGGCAUUUUAUGUAGCAUGAAGGGAUUAUAUUUAAGGUAGAAAGACAAAUUAGUCUAUCAAUAUGAAAUUGUGAACUGGAAAGUGUUGAAUGUUUUUUUAAA